This is a non-coding RNA of Jackrogersella minutella, 86 nucleotides long. The record is from the annotation of a GenBank genome assembly. NCBI's taxonomy places the organism in Eukaryota, Fungi, Ascomycota, Sordariomycetes, Xylariales, Hypoxylaceae.
GGGCCCAUAGUUCAGUUGGCAGAACGUUCGCUUAGCAUUCCACAAGAAUCUGCGGAAGGUCCAGGGUUCGAUUCCCUGUCGGUCCA